RNAcentral lists this ribosomal RNA (468 nucleotides) under uncultured bacterium. RNAcentral describes it as "partial 16S ribosomal RNA". It matches the Rfam family "Bacterial small subunit ribosomal RNA", at positions 28 to 507 of the family's 1533-position model. The record is from RNAcentral.
GACGAACGCUGGCGGCGUGCUUAACACAUGCAAGUCGAACGGAAAGGCCCUGCUUUUGUGGGGUGCUCGAGUGGCGAACGGGUGAGUAACACGUGAGUAACCUGCCCUUGACUUUGGGAUAACUUCAGGAAACUGGGGCUAAUACCGGAUAGGAGCUCCUGCUGCAUGGUGGGGGUUGGAAAGUUUCGGCGGUUGGGGAUGGACUCGCGGCUUAUCAGCUUGUUGGUGGGGUAGUGGCUUACCAAGGCUUUGACGGGUAGCCGGCCUGAGAGGGUGACCGGCCACAUUGGGACUGCGAUACGGCCCAGAAUGCUACGGGAGGCAGCAGUGGGGAAUAUUGCACAAUGGGCGGAAGCCUGAUGCAGCAACGCCGCGUGCGGGAUGACGGCCUUCGGGUUGUAAACCGCUUUCGCCUGUGACGAAGCGUGAGUGACGGUAAUGGGUAAAGAAGCACCGGCUAACUACGUG